GUAGGUGGCAAGCGUUGUCCGGAAUUAUUGGGCGUAAAGCGCGCGCAGGCGGUCCUUUAAGUCUGAUGUGAAAGCCCACGGCUCAACCGUGGAGGGUCAUUGGAAACUGGGGGACUUGAGUACAGAAGAGGAAAGCGGAAUUCCAAGUGUAGCGGUGAAAUGCGUAGAGAUUUGGAGGGACACCAGUGGCGAAGGCGGCUUUCUGGUCUGUAACUGACGCUGAGGCGCGAAAGCGUGGGGAGCAAACAGGGAUUAGAUACCCUGGUAGUCCACGCCGUAAACGAUGAGUGCUAAGUGUUAGGGGGUUUCCCGCCCCUUAGUGCUGCAGCUAACGCAUUAAGCACUCCGCCUGGGGAGUACGGCCGCAAGGCUG
This 373-nucleotide ribosomal RNA is filed under the name uncultured organism. RNAcentral describes it as "partial 16S ribosomal RNA". It matches the Rfam family "Bacterial small subunit ribosomal RNA", at positions 527 to 896 of the family's 1533-position model. The record is from RNAcentral.